AGCCCUGUAGCACAAUUGGUUAGCGCGUCUGCAUUUGGAGCAGAAGGUUAUUGGUUCGAGUCCAGUCAGGGUUA
RNAcentral lists this transfer RNA (74 nucleotides) under Chitinophaga ginsengisegetis. It matches the Rfam family "tRNA". Rfam says of the family: Transfer RNA (tRNA) molecules are approximately 80 nucleotides in length. Their secondary structure includes four short double-helical elements and three loops (D, anti-codon, and T loops). RNAcentral also lists the same sequence under 1 other name. Lineage: Bacteria; Pseudomonadati; Bacteroidota; Chitinophagia; Chitinophagales; Chitinophagaceae. The record is from Rfam by way of RNAcentral.